This 399-nucleotide ribosomal RNA is filed under the name Sternaspis sendalli. Its description in RNAcentral is "partial 16S ribosomal RNA". It matches the Rfam family "Bacterial large subunit ribosomal RNA", at positions 1953 to 2568 of the family's 2925-position model. The record is from RNAcentral. Lineage: Eukaryota; Metazoa; Annelida; Polychaeta; Terebellida; Sternaspidae.
AAGGUAGCAUAAUCAUUUGCCUCUUAAUUAGUGGYUAGUAUGAAUGGACAAACGAGAAUUCCCCUGUCUCUAUAAAGCCAAUGAAAAUUAAUCUUCAGGUGAAGAAGCCUGAAUCUCAUUAAAAGACAAAAAGACCCUAUUGAGCUUACAUUCAAUCUCUAAAAUAUUAAAAUAAAAUAAAACUACCCUUUUUACAAGAAUUUUGCUGGGGCGGCAAAGGAACAACCAAAAAUUCCUUUUCUCAAAGACUUAUAAGUCUAUUAACUGAUCCGUAUUAACGAUUAACAAAACUAGUUACCAUAGGGAUAACAGGCUAAUUUUUCUCUAAAGCUCACAUUAACAGAAAAGAUUGGCACCUCGAUGUUGGCUUAGGAUAUCCUAAGGGCGCAGAAGCCUUAA